RNAcentral lists this ribosomal RNA (253 nucleotides) under uncultured bacterium. Its description in RNAcentral is "partial 16S ribosomal RNA". It matches the Rfam family "Bacterial small subunit ribosomal RNA", at positions 524 to 776 of the family's 1533-position model. The record is from RNAcentral.
UACGGGGGGGGCAAGCGUUGUUCGGAAUUACUGGGCGUAAAGGGCGCGUAGGCGGCCUGCUAAGUCGGAUGUGAAAUCCCUCGGCUCAACCGCGGAACUGCAUCCGAUACUGGCGGGCUUGAAUCCGGGAGAGGGAUGUGGAAUUCCAGUUGUAGCGGUGAAAUGCGUAGAUAUCUGGAGGAACACCGGUGGCUAAGGCGGCAUCCUGGACCGGUAUUGACGCUGAGGCGCGAAAGCUAGGGGAGCAAACGGG